UCUAGCCUCCGGCAACGGCUGGAUCAUUGCUCCGUCAAGGUGCUUUGCUUCUUCUUCUUCUUCAAAAUUCCUUGAAGGAAAAUCGGAGCUUUUUCUUUCUUUACUGUUUUUAAUGAUGAGAAUGUCACCCUUCUCCUUAUGAUUCCAUUCACUCCGUAGGUCAAAAUCUUCAAUGAAAUGCUGUGAAGAUUAUAUUGCCAUGUUUGAUAACAGAAAAUUAAAGUUGUUGAUCGUAGCUAGCUUUUCACUGUCCAUUACUGUCAAAAUCUUCAUAGAUCUACAGUAGUUGAUCUCACAUAAGUAGAUGUUCUUUUGGUAUUGGGAGCAUUCUCUGUCUGUUCUUAAUGCAAGUUCCUAAAUGACUUUUUUUCUUCAUAGAUCUAUAGAUUACCCUCCUGUUAAUCCGCUUACUGUUCUUGGAAAAUCAAGUUUGUCAUAGAUAAAUAAAUGAUUACUUGGAAAGAGCAUUUUAGCAAGUAGUCUUCAAAGUCUUAUUUUAUUUUAUUUUAUUAUUUUAAAUUUUAUGUUAUUGCAAUAGUUGUCUUGCAAUUUUUACUUCCGUGGCCUUCCUUCUAUUGUUAGUGAUUUCAUGUAUUCUAUGUGUGGUUAUUCUAUGUAUUCCUCAAAUAUCUAUUGCUUUUCAAUUCAGUAAGAGGCAAAUUCUACAUGGGCUUUUAUUGAUUGAUUCAGUUAUGUUCCAUAAAACACUACAAGCAACAAUGCCUGGUGUCAUUGGUUUGUAACUUCAUUAUUGCAUCAAGCUUCAAAUAAUCAAAUUUAAUGGUAGAAGAAUGUCUUGCCUUCAUUUUUCUAAAAAACAAUUAGAAAUUUUAUAAUUCUGAGACUUGAUUAUUGGUAACAAUGUGGACUUUUCCUAGUAGCUGUUGGUGGGAACCUUUGAGAAGAGUUUUUUUUUUUUUAAUUGUGCAAUCUUCAAGGGAAGACAGAUUUAAAAUUUGUCUAGUUCCUGCUUCAGAGUUUCUUCCAACAGGUUUAUCCAUCCAACAUUAGAAUAAGUCACAUUACUUUGCACUCAUUCUAAAGAAAGCACACAUUAGGACACAUUGUACAUGUUGAUUCGUCUGUUUUCUUUCUAUAAUACUGUCAGAUUGUUGGCCCACACAUUAUUUAGGCCAGGCUUCCAAUAGUUUCAUUCAGACAAGGCCACAAUGAUGAGUUCUGAUAAUUAGAUGGUCUGUUGGUGGAGCAUUAGCAUUGAGGGGCUGCAGGAGGCAUAUAUAUAUUGUUCCUAUGCAUCUUUUGGUACUGCUGAUCAUCUGGAGAGUUAAUGCGGUUGUUCCUGAUGCAACCUCUAGGAACUCAAACUUAUAAGGAGUGCUGCAAGAAUAGCAAAGGCACCUAAGACCAGGAUUCUGUUCAAAGUACAGCUGGAACAACUAUAGCGAAAAAUGGUGAGAUACGUGAGCAGAGGUGCCAUGCUGGGUCCACCAGCAUGACCUUUAGAUCUCAUCCAUUCGUUUACAAGUUGAAUAAGAGCUUUACAAUCUGGAGGUGCAUAUUUCAUCAGUAUCAGUGUUGCCAUCCUCUGGGAGUGCAGAAUCUACUCAAAUUGCAUUGAGAGGGCUCAGAGAUUUGUACAACAAUAUCAAGAAUCUUCUACGCUUCCCAAGAAGCAGCCAAUAAAGUUGUUCCCAACCUCAGCAAAAGAAAUGGGCAGAAGAACUCGAUGUGUCUUUCAAGUUAACGGAUCUGUGUAAUGUUGUGAAAGAUAUAACCUGUUGCAGCCAGAGAACAUAUUCUAGAUCUUCAGUUCAUUUGCCAUAUAUCUACAGUGAAAGAAAUUGUUGUGCAGAAAUAUUGAAGACUUAACUGAAUUCUUGUAUAUCUUGAAGCUCCAAAGGAGACUGAGAGAUGUGUUUAAUUAGCUUAAGAAUUAAAUCAAAGAAGCUUUGACAUAGUUAAUAUAUUAAGAAGAUUCAAGAGUGUUGGAAUAAUAAAUUCAGUCAUAAGCCA
Long non-coding RNA from Dioscorea cayenensis subsp. rotundata (Guinea yam), 1974 nucleotides. RefSeq lists it as uncharacterized. The transcript has 3 exons. The record is from RefSeq and is a predicted model, not a curated record. Lineage: Eukaryota; Viridiplantae; Streptophyta; Magnoliopsida; Dioscoreales; Dioscoreaceae.